Molecule: ribosomal RNA, 422 nt
Filed under: uncultured archaeon
Lineage: Archaea
Description: partial 16S ribosomal RNA
Rfam family: Archaeal small subunit ribosomal RNA
Source: RNAcentral
CUACGGGAGGCACCAGGCGCGAAACCUCUACAAUGCACGCAAGUGUGAUAGGGGGAUCCCAAGUGCUCAUGUUUUACAUGGGCUUUUGCCAAGAGUAAAAAUCUUGGCGAAUAAGGGGUGGGUAAGACUGGUGCCAGCCGCCGCGGUAACACCAGCGCCCCGAGUGGCAACCGCGUUUAUUGGGCCUAAAGCGUUCGUAGCCGGUUAAGUAAAUCUCUUGUGAAAUUGUCAAGCUCAACUUGACAACGUGCAGGAGACACUGCUUGACUAGGGACCGGGAGGAGUCAGAAGUAUUCCAAGGGGAGCGGUAAAAUGUUAUAAUCCUUGGAAGACUACCUGUGGCGAAGGCGUCUGACCAGAACGGAUCCGACGGUGAGGGACGAAAGCUAGGGGAGCAAAACGGAUUAGAUACCCGCGUAGUC